This 650-nucleotide ribosomal RNA is filed under the name uncultured bacterium. Its description in RNAcentral is "bacterial SSU rRNA". It matches the Rfam family "Bacterial small subunit ribosomal RNA", at positions 58 to 703 of the family's 1533-position model. The record is from RNAcentral.
CAAGUCGAGCGGUAACAGAAAGUAGCUUGCUACUUUGCUGACGAGCGGCGGACGGGUGAGUAAUGCUUGGGAACAUGCCUUGAGGUGGGGGACAACAGUUGGAAACGACUGCUAAUACCGCAUAAUGUCUACGGACCAAAGGGGGCUUCGGCUCUCGCCUUUAGAUUGGCCCAAGUGGGAUUAGCUAGUUGGUGAGGUAAUGGCUCACCAAGGCAACGAUCCCUAGCUGGUUUGAGAGGAUGAUCAGCCACACUGGAACUGAGACACGGUCCAGACUCCUACGGGAGGCAGCAGUGGGGAAUAUUGCACAAUGGGCGAAAGCCUGAUGCAGCCAUGCCGCGUGUGUGAAGAAGGCCUUCGGGUUGUAAAGCACUUUCAGUCAGGAGGAAAGGGUGUGAGUUAAUACCUCAUAUCUGUGACGUUACUGACAGAAGAAGCACCGGCUAACUCCGUGCCAGCAGCCGCGGUAAUACGGAGGGUGCGAGCGUUAAUCGGAAUUACUGGGCGUAAAGCGUACGCAGGCGGUUUGUUAAGCGAGAUGUGAAAGCCCCGGGCUCAACCUGGGAACUGCAUUUCGAACUGGCAAACUAGAGUGUGAUAGAGGGUGGUAGAAUUUCAGGUGUAGCGGUGAAAUGCGUAGAGAUCUGAAG